UACGUAGGGUGCAAGCGUUGCCCGGAUUUAUUGGGCGUAAAGGGCGCGUAGGCGGCCAGUGCAAGUCAGUUGUGAAAUCUCCGAGCUUAACUCGGAAAGGUCAACUGAUACUGCUCGGCUAGAGUGCGGAGGGGGCAACUGGAAUUCUUGGUGUAGCGGUGAAAUGCGUAGAUAUCAAGAGGAACACCUGCGGCGAAGGCGGGUUGCUGGGCCGACACUGACGCUGAUGCGCGAAAGCUAGGGGAGCGAACGGG
Molecule: ribosomal RNA, 254 nt
Filed under: uncultured bacterium
Lineage: Bacteria
Description: partial 16S ribosomal RNA
Rfam family: Bacterial small subunit ribosomal RNA
Source: RNAcentral